RNAcentral lists this ribosomal RNA (492 nucleotides) under uncultured bacterium. RNAcentral's name for it is "partial 16S ribosomal RNA". It matches the Rfam family "Bacterial small subunit ribosomal RNA", at positions 29 to 507 of the family's 1533-position model. The record is from RNAcentral.
AGUGAACGCUGGCGGUAGGCCUAACACAUGCAAGUCGAACGGCAGCACAGUAAGAGCUUGCUCUUACGGGUGGCGAGUGGCGGACGGGUGAGGAAUACAUCGGAAUCUUCUUUUUCGUGGGGGAUAACGUAGGGAAACUUACGCUAAUACCGCAUACGACCUACGGGUGAAAGCAGGGGAUCUUCGCACCUUGCGCGUUUGAUUGAGCCGAUGUCGGAUUAGCUAGUUGGCGUGGUAAAGGCCCACCAAGGCGACGAUCCGUAGCUGGUCUGAGAGGAUGAUCAGCCACACUGGAACUGAGACACGGUCCAGACUCCUACGGGAGGCAGCAGUGGGGAAUAUUGGGCAAUGGGCGAAAGCCUGAUCCAGCCAUGCCGCGUGGGUGAAGAAGGUCUUCGGAUUGUAAGGCCCUUUUGUUGGGGAAGAAAAGCAGUAGGUUAAUACGCCGCUGUUCUGACGGUACCCAAAGAAUAAGCACCGGCUAACUUCGUG